GAGGGUAUAGCUCAGUGGUAGAGUGAGUGCUUAGCAUGCAUAAAGUCUUGAGUUCAAUCCACAGUACUUCCA
RNAcentral lists this transfer RNA (72 nucleotides) under Camelus bactrianus (Bactrian camel). It matches the Rfam family "tRNA". From Rfam's summary of the family: Transfer RNA (tRNA) molecules are approximately 80 nucleotides in length. Their secondary structure includes four short double-helical elements and three loops (D, anti-codon, and T loops). RNAcentral also lists the same sequence under 1 other name. The record is from Rfam by way of RNAcentral. Lineage: Eukaryota; Metazoa; Chordata; Mammalia; Artiodactyla; Camelidae.